UUUCAGACCUUAAAAGAACUUCUUGAAUAAUGAAAAUUUGCCUCAAGUGACAAGUUCAAGUGAGUAGCAUCAAUAAACAGCAAAAUAGACAAUACAAGUCAGACUAAAGGAUCAUAUGUCAUUUUGCCAGUCUAUACCAUUGCCCCUAACCUAUCCUCUCUCUGCAGGGCAUCUCCAGCCUGUUCUGUGAUAUCUCCGUAGUGUCUACCCAAGAGAUCAUAUUCAAUAUGGAUGAAGGAAAACUUCUGUUAUUUUUCCAUGCUUUACCUACUUUUUUCCCAACCACUUUUUCUAACAGGAGCAGUGCUCCAUCACUCUGACCAUGUUGCUGGCCCUCUCUGGACUUCCUCCAUAAGGUUGAUAACCUUCCUUUGCUGGAGGCCCCAGAGCUGGAUGCAGCCCUGCAGGUAUAAGCAUGUACCAAUGACUUCCGGAAGGUGACUGUAGCCCAAGUUAGGAAGACUGGCUUUUCAAUUAUUUUCAGAUGUCUAAAGAUGUGCCCUGAUUAAUUCCACCUUGCAACAUAUUAAUGAGAACAUUAGAACAUUGAAAACUCACUGUGAUAACACUUUAAAGGGAAAAUCCUAAGUCAGUUGAAAAAGAUCAAUUCAAAUACUUGGUUGAAGAGAAUAAUGCUUUUACUUUG
Molecule: long non-coding RNA, 646 nt
Organism: Motacilla alba alba
Lineage: Eukaryota; Metazoa; Chordata; Aves; Passeriformes; Motacillidae
Exons: 5
Source: RefSeq, a predicted model, not a curated record